ACUUCGUCCAGCCAUGAUUUUCCGUGUCCAACUUUAAUUAUUCAUCUUGUUUGAACUUUUUUUAUGAUUAAUAUUUUUAUUGUUAUUAAAUUAUAAGAUAUGAAUAGUACUUUAUGCUUGAGUUAUUAUUUUUAGUUUUUUUUAAAAAAAUAAAUAAAUAAGACGGAUGAUUAAAGUUGAACACGAAAACUCAUAGCUGUGUUUAAA
This is a non-coding RNA of Oryza glumipatula, 207 nucleotides long. NCBI's taxonomy places the organism in Eukaryota, Viridiplantae, Streptophyta, Magnoliopsida, Poales, Poaceae. The record is from Rfam.